GGAUUAGAUACCCUGGUAGUCCACGCUGUAAACGAUGGUUACUAGCUGUUUGGACUUCGGUCUGAGUGGCUAAGCGAAAGUGAUAAGUAACCCACCUGGGGAGUACGAUCGCAAGAUUGAAACUCAAAGGAAUUGACGGGGGCCCGCACAAGCGGUGGAGCAUGUGGUUUAAUUCGAUGAUACGCGAGGAACCUUACCAGGGCUUAAAUGUGGAUUGACAGGGGCAGAGACGCCUUUUUCUUCGGACAAUUCACAAGGUGCUGCAUGGUUGUCGUCAGCUCGUGCCG
Molecule: ribosomal RNA, 287 nt
Filed under: uncultured bacterium
Lineage: Bacteria
Description: partial 16S ribosomal RNA
Rfam family: Bacterial small subunit ribosomal RNA
Source: RNAcentral